UCAAAAAAACCCGACCCGACCCGACCCGAACACGACCCGAACACGAAACAAAUAUAAAACGUGUUUUGUGUUCGGGUCGUGUUCGAGUGACAAACAUGAAACAAGCGGAAUACAUGUUUCGGGUCGGGUUUAGGGUUGAAACAUUGUUCGACCCGAAACACGUUAACACCCUUGUUCCAAUUUCCAAACAAGUCACCAAACACAAACACUAAACACUAAACAGACGUCUUUUCGAGAACCCCUGCCCUUCGGCUUCUUCUCCGACGACUGCGCUUCUCGUGGAUUCCGCUGCCGCCCUCCGAUCGACGCGCCUCCACCUCGCCGUCGCCUUCCCCACCCCUUGUCUCAACGCCGGAACCCUAGCCGCCGCCUAUUCCUAUUGUUUUAGUGGGAAAACGCUGGAGCUGUGUGGCUUUCGGUUUUUCCUCAGAGUCGGGAGAAAAUCUGCCGCGAUUUCUCGCCCGCGCGGCUUGACGAUCCAGGGUCUUUAAAUUCAUGAACCCGAAGAAACAGAGGGUUGGACUCGGAGCUCUUUUCGUUCUUGGAUAUUGCAUGCUUUUGACAUUGGAUUGAAUUGAUCUUGGUCAGAGUUCCUUUACUGAUAUUUUUGCUGCCAUGAAGCUUUGAUGACACCACAUGCACAACCCCUUUUUGGUUCCCCCUCGGGUUGGCUUAGUGUGGAUUAAUCUUGUUAUCUCAUAUCUAGAUGAGCAUUUGCUAGGAAUAGUGUGGUUUUUGAUUUUGUGUGCUUGGUGUGUUUACGCAUCAGCAAUCAACAAGCAUGCCUAAGCUUGUAAGAGAAGUAGAAAUCAGAGAGAAAGAAGCAGAACAACGACUUGAGAUGCAAUCACUGGUGAAGUAAACCGCGACAAUGAUGAAUGAUGAGUAGAGAAUCGAACCUUUCCAUGAAAGGAGAAUUGUUCCAUAUGUAUGUUUCUCAUUUUCUUGUCUGCAACUGCAGGAUAUUUCAACAGAUUGCAAUGGUA
Eucalyptus grandis is the source of this 986-nucleotide long non-coding RNA. RefSeq lists it as uncharacterized. The transcript has 2 exons. NCBI's taxonomy places the organism in Eukaryota, Viridiplantae, Streptophyta, Magnoliopsida, Myrtales, Myrtaceae. The record is from RefSeq and is a predicted model, not a curated record.